Molecule: non-coding RNA, 1746 nt
Organism: Malus domestica (apple)
Lineage: Eukaryota; Viridiplantae; Streptophyta; Magnoliopsida; Rosales; Rosaceae
Source: RefSeq, a predicted model, not a curated record
CUAUGUUUGUUACACAAGCGGACUAGCUUUAGUGGGAUUACCCUUCACUCGCCUCGACUAAGGGGCUCGCUAGAUCGUCUUAGCGAGACCCCUCGAAUUCUAGCGGACUAGUAAGACCGUCAUCUCUCUCGUCAUCCCGCUUUGCUCCAUAGCCUUGCCGGACCAUUCCUCGACCAACACCGCAUCCGCAUAAGCCUCUCAGAGCUUCCUCUUCCACUUCAUCUUCUUCAUUUUCUUCGAUUUUGUUUUGAAGAUUCGUGAAAUUAUUAGUGGGUUUUGAACGAUUUCUGGUUUUGAUCGAUUUCUGGGUUUAAUCGAUUAUGGGUUUUGAUUUACUUCUGGGAUUUCUGCAUUCUGAUUUAUUUCUUGGAUUUCUGGGUUUUGAUUGAUUUUUGGGUUUUAAUUUGAUCCACAAAUCAGUCAUAUUGUUUUAGGAGAAUGUUUGAUCCUGCAGAGAACAAUCGUCUUCCUCUGAGAAAAUCGUUCCAUGCAUGUCCUUCGAGAGGCCCUGUUGUUUUUCCCAGCAUCAACCUCGUCGAUUAUGCCUAUCAAUUCGAGUAAGUUUGCUUCUUAAUCUGUAUGUUUUUUCUGUCAUGUUUAUUUUGUGUUUAGUUGCACAGAAAGUUAUGGAAAUUAAAUGGUGGAAUGAACUAAUAAUGUUGAUAAAUUUUCUGUAGAAAUAGAAAAUAUGUGUCUUUGUACAUGCAGUAUGCAGAAUUGGGAUUUCAACCAAAACUCAUGCGUGGAUCGUGUAAGAAGUGUAGAGGGAUGGAAAUACUUAACAAGUUUAUGGGAAAUCUGAGUUGCUACAGCAGAGCUCUUAAGCUCGGGCUUCCUGGCGUCCUUUGUGCCCUGCAUUAUUGUGAAAGGAGAGUGCAAGAAGCAGCCAGCUGUUGAAUAGAGGGAGAGCUUGAGAUUUGAAACAACUAUUUUACUACCCUAGUUGUAACUUCUCUCUCUCUCUUCACUUGCUCUCUUAAAGACUCUCUCAUGCUCCUUUUAAAAUGUAACCUACAUUAUUAGAGUAAAAACCACAGAAACUACUAAGCAUGGAAGUAGGCCACAGCUUGCACAUAUGGAAGGUUCGUACAGUGCUCUGGACUUAUUACUGUCAUUAAUGAAAGAAAGAAAUUAUGGAUGCUUUAUUGGGAUCAGAGUCCAUAAUAUCAGCUCCAGUGUAUAAGGUUUUCUCCGUUUCAUAUUCACCGUGAACUUAUUAGUCAUUAUGCCUUGAUGAUAACGAUGUCGUAAGAGUCAUUUGUGUUGCAAAACAAGUCACAAUCUCUAUAUGUCAAGAAUCUGAGCUUUACGACAUCAGACGAGAGUUUGAAAAAGCAUUUUAGUGGACACGUGAAGGGGGGAAAACUAUUAAGUGUUAAGGUAAAGAAACACUUGAAGAAUGGGAAGAAUGUUUCAAUGGGUUUUGGUUUUCUGGAGUUCGAUUCUGUGGAGACAGCCACAAAUGUUUGCCGGGAUUUACAGGGAACUAUUUUGGACGGGCAUGCUCUUAUUUUGCAACUUUGUCAUGCCAAGAAAGAUGAAGUGCCUAAAAAGGUUGACAAUGAUAAAAGCUCGACAAAACUACUUGUGAAAAAUGUAGCUUUUGAGGCCACAGAGAAAGAACUGAGGCAGCUAUUUAGUCCAUUUGGCCAGGUACCAUCUAUAUCGAGAUGAGGAUAUACUGGGAACACUGCACGACUGAUGUAUUGUUUGACCUAUGAUCGUGUUAAUUUUGUUCAUGAUUUA